GCGAGCGUCGCCAAGUGGUUAAGGCAGUGGUUUGUGGUACCGCCAUCCGUGGGUUCGAAUCCCAUCGUUCGCC
Molecule: transfer RNA, 73 nt
Filed under: Leptolyngbyaceae cyanobacterium SL_7_1
Lineage: Bacteria; Bacillati; Cyanobacteriota; Cyanophyceae; Leptolyngbyales; Leptolyngbyaceae
Description: tRNA-His
Rfam family: tRNA
About the family: Transfer RNA (tRNA) molecules are approximately 80 nucleotides in length. Their secondary structure includes four short double-helical elements and three loops (D, anti-codon, and T loops). Further hydrogen bonds mediate the characteristic L-shaped molecular structure. tRNAs have two regions of fundamental functional importance: the anti-codon, which is responsible for specific mRNA codon recognition, and the 3' end, to which the tRNAs corresponding amino acid is attached (by aminoacyl-tRNA synthetases). tRNAs cope with the degeneracy of the genetic code in two manners: having more than one tRNA (with a specific anti-codon) for a particular amino acid; and 'wobble' base-pairing, i.e. permitting non-standard base-pairing at the 3rd anti-codon position.
Source: RNAcentral